Urocitellus parryii (Arctic ground squirrel) is the source of this 705-nucleotide non-coding RNA. Lineage: Eukaryota; Metazoa; Chordata; Mammalia; Rodentia; Sciuridae. The record is from RefSeq and is a predicted model, not a curated record.
GAAACGACUGGGGGCGCGUGGCGGAGCCAAAGACCGUACCAAAGUGGGAGGGGGGCUGAAUGACACUAGGUGAUACCAAGUCGGCUCCCUAAUGGGAGUCGGGGAACCUCACCUACAGCCCCGGGGCCGCUACCAAGAAGCCCGAGGGCGAGGGUAGCACCACGCGUGAAGGGAGGACUUAAAGCUUGGAGGGGUGACGUGGCUAGGGGACCACAACUCCCAGCGAGCCCCAUGGGGACUUGGGCGGGGCCAUCGGCCCCUGGAAACCCCUCCAGUCACAGCUACGCGCCCAGGCUCCACCCCCUGCAUCGCCUUCAAGCUUCUGGCUCUCCGCUAUUCGUUGAUUCACUCAACUAAAAUUAAGUGCGUAGUCACUAGUCAUUGUGUACGAUUUCUUCCUUGAGUCUUUUUUCGUCUAGUGUGAUAAUAUUCCAACCUUAGAGUGGUUAUGAGAAGUGAAUUUAAURAAGUGUCAGGAUCAGUGCUUGGCACAAUAACUCUCGUUACCUUUUAAGAAGAAAAAAAUCCUAUUAUUAAUACCUUGGCUGGUUCUAUGCUGGGCGACCUCAUCAGGACACAUGUGGGGAUGAAUGCCCAGGACUAUACACACAUGGAGAGAGCUAUACCAGGAUAUACUCCAGGGUGACCAAACUGGAAACUCAUGUCAAAAGUUCUCGGCGGACACAACAUCUUUGUUGGUAUGUG